This 67-nucleotide transfer RNA is filed under the name Anthonomus rubi (strawberry blossom weevil). Its description in RNAcentral is "tRNA-Ala". The record is from RNAcentral. Lineage: Eukaryota; Metazoa; Arthropoda; Insecta; Coleoptera; Curculionidae.
AGGAUAAUAGUUAAAAUUUAUAACGUUUAAGUUGCAUUUAAAAAUUAUUGCAUUACAAUUUAUCUUA